RNAcentral lists this ribosomal RNA (1055 nucleotides) under uncultured Lactobacillus sp. RNAcentral's name for it is "bacterial SSU rRNA". It matches the Rfam family "Bacterial small subunit ribosomal RNA", at positions 350 to 1398 of the family's 1533-position model. Lineage: Bacteria; Bacillati; Bacillota; Bacilli; Lactobacillales; Lactobacillaceae. The record is from RNAcentral.
AGCAGUAGGGAAUCUUCCACAAUGGACGCAAGUCUGAUGGAGCAACGCCGCGUGAGUGAAGAAGGGUUUCGGCUCGUAAAGCUCUGUUGGUAGUGAAGAAAGAUAGAGGUAGUAACUGGCCUUUAUUUGACGGUAAUUACCUAGGAAGUCACGGCUAACUACGUGCCAGCAGCCGCGGUAAUACGUAGGUGGCAAGCGUUGUCCGGAUUUAUUGGGCGUAAAGCGAGUGCAGGCGGUUCAAUAAGUCUGAUGUGAAAGCCUUCGGCUCAACCGGAGAAUUGCAUCAGAAACUGUUGAACUUGAGUGCAGAAGAGGAGAGUGGAACUCCAUGUGUAGCGGUGGAAUGCGUAGAUAUAUGGAAGAACACCAGUGGCGAAGGCGGCUCUCUGGUCUGCAACUGACGCUGAGGCUCGAAAGCAUGGGUAGCGAACAGGAUUAGAUACCCUGGUAGUCCAUGCCGUAAACGAUGAGUGCUAAGUGUUGGGAGGUUUCCGCCUCUCAGUGCUGCAGCUAACGCAUUAAGCACUCCGCCUGGGGAGUACGACCGCAAGGUUGUAACUCAAAGGAAUUGACGGGGGCCCGCAUAAGCGGUGGAGCAUGUGGUUUAAUUCGAAGCAACGCGAAGAACCUUACCAGGUCUUGACAUCUAGUGCCAUCCUAAGAGAUUAGGAGUUCCCUUCGGGGACACUAAGACAGGUGGUGCAUGGCUGUCGUCAGCUCGUGUCGUGAGAUGUUGGGUUAAGUCCCGCAACGAGCGCAACCCUUGUUAUUAGUUGCCAGCAUUAAGUUGGGCACUCUAAUGAGACUGCCGGUGACAAACCGGAGGAAGGUGGGGAUGACGUCAAGUCAUCAUGCCCCUUAUGACCUGGGCUACACACGUGCUACAAUGGGCAGUACAACGAGAAGCGAGCCUGCGAAGGCAAGCGGAUCUCUUAAAGCUGUUCUCAGUUCGGACUGCAGUCUGCAACUCGACUGCACGAAGCUGGAAUCGCUAGUAAUCGCGGAUCAGCACGCCGCGGUGAAUACGUUCCCGGGCCUUGUACACACCGCCCGUC